GAUGAACGCUGGCGGCGCGCCUAAUACAUGCAAGUCGAGCGAACAGACGAGGAGCUUGCUCCUCUGACGUUAGCGGCGGACGGGUGAGUAACACGUGGAUAACCUACCUAUAAGACUGGGAUAACUUCGGGUAACCGGAGCUAAUACCGGAUAAUAUAUUGAACCGCAUGGUUCAAUAGUGAAAGACGGUUUUGCUGUCACUUAUAGAUGGAUCCGCGCCGCAUUAGCUAGUUGGUAAGGUAACGGCUUACCAAGGCGACGAUGCGUAGCCGACCUGAGAGGGUGAUCGGCCACACUGGAACUGAGACACGGUCCAGACUCCUACGGGAGGCAGCAGUAGGGAAUCUUCCGCAAUGGGCGAAAGCCUGACGGAGCAACGCCGCGUGAGUGAUGAAGGUCUUCGGAUCGUAAAACUCUGUUAUUAGGGAAGAACAAAUGUGUAAGUAACUAUGCACGUCUUGACGGUACCUAAUCAGAAAGCCACGGCUAACUACGUG
RNAcentral lists this ribosomal RNA (497 nucleotides) under uncultured bacterium. Its description in RNAcentral is "partial 16S ribosomal RNA". It matches the Rfam family "Bacterial small subunit ribosomal RNA", at positions 28 to 507 of the family's 1533-position model. The record is from RNAcentral.